RNAcentral lists this ribosomal RNA (433 nucleotides) under uncultured bacterium. RNAcentral's name for it is "partial 16S ribosomal RNA". It matches the Rfam family "Bacterial small subunit ribosomal RNA", at positions 29 to 507 of the family's 1533-position model. The record is from RNAcentral.
AACGAACGCUGGCGGCAUGCUUAACACAUGCAAGUCGAACGAGACCUUCGGGCUUUGUGGGGCUCGGCUGCUUACCGCCUGGUAACUUGCCCUUAGGUUCCCAAUACCUCCCUGUAAGGUGUCCUCAUACCGCUUAAUCUCUUCCGACCUAAGAUCUAUCGCCUUUGGAUGGGCGCGCGUUGGAUUCGCCAGUUGGUAGGGUAAUAGCCUGCCAAGGCGACGUUGCAUAGCUGGUCUGGGAGGAUGAUCUGCCACACUGGGACUGAGACACGGCCCAGACUCCUACGGAAGGCAGCAGUAGGGAAUAUUAGGCAAGGGACGAAAGCCUGAUCCAGCAAUGCCGCGUGAGUGAUGAAGGCCUUAGGGUUGUAAAGCUCUUUUACCCGAGAUGAUAAUGACAGUACCGGGAGAAUAAGCACCGGCUAACUCCGUG